UAAUACGGAGGAUGCAAGCGUUAUCCGGAAUAAUUGGGCGUAAAGCGUCCGUAGGUGGCUGUUCAAGUCUGCCGUUAAAGACCGGGGCUUAACCCUGGAAAGGCGGUGGAAACUGAGCGGCUAGAGUGCAGUAGGGGUAGAGGGAAUUCCCAGUGUAGCGGUGAAAUGCGUAGAGAUUGGGAGGAACACCGGUGGCGAAAGCGCUCUGCUGGACUGCAACUGACACUGAGGGACGAAAGCUAGGGGAGCGAAUGGGA
RNAcentral lists this ribosomal RNA (257 nucleotides) under uncultured prokaryote. RNAcentral's name for it is "partial 16S ribosomal RNA". It matches the Rfam family "Bacterial small subunit ribosomal RNA", at positions 521 to 777 of the family's 1533-position model. The record is from RNAcentral.